AUGCAUAUGAUGCGGCGGCUCAAGAGCAUCGCCUCCGGCCGCUCCUCCGUCUCCGAUCCGGGUGGUGACUCUGGCUCAAAAAGGCCAAAAUUUGAUCAGGAUGGAUUGGGCGAUAUUGUCAUUCAACCACAUCUAUCUGAUGACAAACCUAUGCAUCUAGACCAAGAAUCAUCAUCAUCAUCAUCUCAUAGAGAUGCUGAGGCAAGCACAUCUACUAGUAUGAAUCCUGCUAAAGCUGAAGAAACGGGUGCAGAUCUUCCGAAAGGAAUGAAUGAUAUGACAAUAAGCGAUGAUAAAGUUGGCCAUAAUAAUGAUAAGGAAGCUGAAGGGGUUACCGUUGAUGGAAAUGGAACAGAAGCUGGCCAGAUCAUUGUGACAACAAUAGGAGGUCAAAAUGGGAAGCCAAAGCAGAAGGUCUCAUACAUGGCAGAACGCGUCGUUGGGACUGGUUCGUUUGGUGUAGUAUAUCAGGCCAAGUGCUUGGAAACUGGAGAGACUGUUGCCAUUAAGAAGGUGCUGCAGGAUAAGAGAUAUAAGAACAGAGAGUUGCAAACAAUGCAGUUACUUGAGCAUCCAAAUGUAGUUCAGCUAAAGCAUCACUUCUUUUCGACAACUGAGAGGGGUGAAGUGUACCUAAACCUUGUACUUGAAUAUGUCUCAGAGACAGUUUAUCGUGUUGCCAAAUAUUAUUGUCGGCUGAACCAGCGUGUACCCAUACUAUAUGUUAAGUUGUAUGCAUAUCAGAUGUGCCGGGCCCUUGCAUAUAUCCAUCGUGUUGUUGGUGUAUGCCAUCGAGAUAUUAAGCCGCAAAAUCUGUUGGUCAAUCCUCAUACGCAUCAACUUAAGCUUUGUGAUUUUGGGAGUGCUAAAAAACUGGUCCCUGGAGAGCCAAACAUCUCAUACAUCUGCUCGCGGUAUUAUAGGGCUCCUGAACUAAUAUUUGGAGCUACAGAGUACACCACAGCAAUUGAUAUCUGGUCUGUUGGUUGUGUAGUAGCUGAGCUUCUGAUUGGUCAGCCUCUGUUUCCUGGAGAAAGUGGCGUUGAUCAGUUGGUUGAAAUUAUAAAGAUUUUGGGUACCCCAACAAGAGAAGAAAUCAGAUGCAUGAACCCAAACUACUCCGAAUUCAAGUUCCCUCAGAUAAAAGCUCAUCCCUGGCACAAGCUUUUUGGUAAGCGUAUGCCACCUGAAGCAGUUGAUCUUGUGUCAAGGCUACUUCAGUACUCACCAAAUCUGCGCUGCAUAGCUGUUGAUGCUUGUGCCCAUCCGUUCUUCGAUGAACUGCGGGAUCCCAAGACCUGCUUGCCAAAUGGACGGCCAUUACCACCAUUAUUCAACUUCUCGGGGGCUGAGCUAGAAGGCCUCCCUGUUGAGCUACUCCACCGGAUCAUUCCUGAACAGAUGAGGAAGUGA
This 1413-nucleotide ribosomal RNA is filed under the name Triticum aestivum (bread wheat). RNAcentral describes it as "partial small subunit ribosomal RNA". The record is from RNAcentral. Lineage: Eukaryota; Viridiplantae; Streptophyta; Magnoliopsida; Poales; Poaceae.